GACGGAGGUGAGACAUCCAACAGCUUCAAGAACCAAAUUUUCCAGCAGCCCCUAAAACCGUCUCUAACACCCAGAAGCUGGUUCCUCAAUGCUCAGCAAGGAAUAACAGCUCUAGCUCUCUCUUUAGUCAAGGCUGAUUUAUUUAAUUUGUUGUUGGAUUUGAAGUUGAGGAAGAAAUUUAUGAUCAAUUUUAGUGAGGAG
RNAcentral lists this long non-coding RNA (201 nucleotides) under Linum usitatissimum (flax). RNAcentral's name for it is "long non-coding RNA (LUSI_LNC005413)". Lineage: Eukaryota; Viridiplantae; Streptophyta; Magnoliopsida; Malpighiales; Linaceae. The record is from RNAcentral.